RNAcentral lists this microRNA precursor (59 nucleotides) under Pristionchus pacificus. Its description in RNAcentral is "mir-8364 microRNA precursor family". It matches the Rfam family "mir-8364 microRNA precursor family". The record is from Rfam by way of RNAcentral. Lineage: Eukaryota; Metazoa; Nematoda; Chromadorea; Rhabditida; Neodiplogasteridae.
UCUUCAUUUCCCGAACUCUCACCGGUCAGAGAGGCGAGAGAGUGCGGGAAAUGGAGAGA